GUUUUUGUUUCCCAUAAUUAAUUCUUCAUAUACAUUUUGACUGGUUUGUAAUCUUUUCUGAUUUAAAGUGACUUAUGAAGUUCUCUUUUCUGCUUCUUCAGAUUCCUUGGCCUUUUCCUCAGAGCCUGCAAGUGUUAUUUCUAAAUAUGCAAAGUUUUCACUUAGCUUUGACUUUUCAGAGUCAAGCUUCUCAUCAAAUCUGACAUGUAUUGAUUCU
RNAcentral lists this long non-coding RNA (217 nucleotides) under Lathyrus oleraceus (garden pea). RNAcentral's name for it is "Pisum sativum (pea) long non-coding RNA (PSAT_LNC023979)". The record is from RNAcentral. Lineage: Eukaryota; Viridiplantae; Streptophyta; Magnoliopsida; Fabales; Fabaceae.